This is a long non-coding RNA of Myotis myotis, 1132 nucleotides long. RefSeq lists it as uncharacterized. NCBI's taxonomy places the organism in Eukaryota, Metazoa, Chordata, Mammalia, Chiroptera, Vespertilionidae. The transcript is spliced from 4 exons. The record is from RefSeq and is a predicted model, not a curated record.
CACAAGUUGCCCGAAGAUGUGAGGAGGCAAGACCAGUGAACUUUGGUGGAUCAAGCAGCCCCGACCAGGAUUCGGAGGAGAAGAGGCCUUGGGGAAGGAAGUUGAAUAAAGAGAAGAACAAGGUCCUAGAAGAUGCUGAAAUCAACAAUGGAAUGAGCCUGAGCCCCUGAACAUAAACCCAGUGUGCUCUGCUUUGCACCAGUGACCUUAAAAGGAAGCAAUAUUUGCCUAGACUUCCAUUGCUGCUUCAUUUCAUGGGUCAAGAGACUACAGCAUCUUCAACAUUGGACUAUCGCAUUCUGUCCUUGGCUGCUUUUACUUGAAGCAGCAGAAAAUUAGAGGAAUUCCUGGAGCAUAAAAGCUACUGAAGUCUGUACAUGUGUUUGGCUUGUUUGUUUUUCCCCCUAAAAUAAAACUUAACAGGGUCCUACCUGUCCCGCUAGUGCUUAUGAUGUGUUAUCAAGUGUGAGGGAAUCAUUUUUCUCAUUGAGUAAAUUCUGUGUGCUACAUGAAGGACUGCAUGAGUGAAAGUGGAAGGGGCUACCGAGUCCCCACCUGCCAUGCCAGCACCCCGUUUGUCCAUUUCCCAUACUGGAACUACUCCAUGACAUCUACUGCUUCCCAGAUCUAAUCCUGACCUGUGGAAAGGGCCCUUGAGCAGCUCCAGCCCACAUUCUACAUUGCCCACCACAGUGAGAAGAUGCCCUCGUUUAAAAUACACUACCUACCAAGAUGUUCAUGACCUUAAGUGAUAAAAGAUUUUGUACAAUAUAAUCCCAUAUUCAUAAAACAGGUGUAUUAGUUUGCAGUAACAGAGUAUCCCAGACUGAGUGGCUAAAACAAUAGAAAUUUAUUGUCUCAUAGCUCUGGACGCCGGAAGUCCAAGACCAAGGUGUUAGAAGGGUAUGUUCCAUCUGAGAACUGAUGGAGAGAUAGCAUCUGUCCCAUGCGUCUUCCCUAGCUUUUCAUUGUUUCCUGGCAAUCUUUGGCAUGCCUUGGUUUGUAGAAGCAUUGCCAUGAUCUGUCUUCAUUUUCACUUAGCAUUCGCCUUGUGUGCAUGGCUCUGGCUUCAAAUGUUCCCUUUUUAUAAGGACACCAGUCUUAUUGGAUUAGUGCCCAAUAUAAUGACCUC